This 558-nucleotide ribosomal RNA is filed under the name Triticum aestivum (bread wheat). RNAcentral describes it as "partial small subunit ribosomal RNA". The record is from RNAcentral. Lineage: Eukaryota; Viridiplantae; Streptophyta; Magnoliopsida; Poales; Poaceae.
AUGCAUCAACAACAUAAUAUGGACAUGCUUUGCUCGGGUGCGGCGGUCAUAUUUGGCAAGUAUUGUGAAAGUUGGGUGAUGAAGGUCGAGCCUAGGAAAUCUAUUUUGAGUGGAUUUGGAUGGCUUCAAGAGACUAUUGCCACACCGGGAGAGACCUACACAAUGUUGAGAAUGACGGCAAGUGUGUUCUUUGAUGUUCAUGACUUGUUGGUGAGUAAUUAUGGUCUAAAAGAGACAAGCUUUGUUAGCACUUACGAGUCUCUUGCUAUGUUCUUGUGGACAUUGGGAGGUUGUGAGUCAAAUAGAAGAACUCAAAACCGCUUCAAACAUUCAGCGGAUACAAUCCAUCGUAAAUUCCAUGAGGUUCUACAAUGUGUGGUCAACAUGGCAUCUCACUACCUUAAGCCACAAGACCCAAACUUCCACAAUGUGCAUGAUAUCAUUAAGACAGAUAGAAGGGCUUAUCCGCAUCUCAAAGACUGCAUUGGUGCAAUUGAUGGGACUCAUAUACACUACAAAAAAAUACACUUCCAUGAUGAUACAUGUUUGUCACUGUAG